AGUGAACGCUGGCGGUAGGCCUAACACAUGCAAGUCGAACGGCAGCACAGUAAGAGCUUGCUCUUACGGGUGGCGAGUGGCGGACGGGUGAGGAAUACAUCGGAAUCUACUUUUUCGUGGGGGAUAACGUAGGGAAACUUACGCUAAUACCGCAUACGACCUACGGGUUAAAGCAGGGGAUCUUCGGACCUUUCGCGAUUGAAUGAGCCGAUGUCGGAUUAGCUAGUUGGCGGGGUAAAGGCCCACCAAGGCGACGAUCCGUAGCUGGUCUGAGAGGAUGAUCAGCCACACUGGAACUGAGACGCGGUCCAGACUCCUACGGGAGGCAGCAGUGGGGAAUAUUGGACAAUGGGCGAAAGCCUGAUCCAGCCAUACCGCGUGGGUGAAGAAGGCCUUCGGGUUGUAAAGCCCUUUUGUUGGGAAAGAAAAGCAGCAGGUUAAUACCCCGCUGUUCUGACGGUACCCAAAGAAUAAGCACCGGCUAACUUCGUG
RNAcentral lists this ribosomal RNA (492 nucleotides) under uncultured bacterium. RNAcentral describes it as "partial 16S ribosomal RNA". It matches the Rfam family "Bacterial small subunit ribosomal RNA", at positions 29 to 507 of the family's 1533-position model. The record is from RNAcentral.